CCUACGGGAGGCAGCAGUGGGGAAUAUUGCACAAUGGGCGCAAGCCUGAUGCAGCCAUGCCGCGUGUGUGAAGAAGGCCUUCGGGUUGUAAAGCACUUUCAGCGGGGAGGAAGGCGUUAAGGUUAAUAACCUUGGCGAUUGACGUUACCCGCAGAAGAAGCACCGGCUAACUCCGUGCCAGCAGCCGCGGUAAUACGGAGGGUGCAAGCGUUAAUCGGAAUUACUGGGCGUAAAGCGCACGCAGGCGGUCUGUCAAGUCGGAUGUGAAAUCCCCGGGCUCAACCUGGGAACUGCAUUCGAAACUGGCAGGCUAGAGUCUUGUAGAGGGGGGUAGAAUUCCAGGUGUAGCGGUGAAAUGCGUAGAGAUCUGGAGGAAUACCGGUGGCGAAGGCGGCCCCCUGGACAAAGACUGGCGCUCAGGUGCGAAAGCGUGGGGAGCAAACAGGAUUAGAUACCCUAGUAGUC
Molecule: ribosomal RNA, 465 nt
Filed under: uncultured Klebsiella sp.
Lineage: Bacteria; Pseudomonadati; Pseudomonadota; Gammaproteobacteria; Enterobacterales; Enterobacteriaceae
Description: bacterial SSU rRNA
Rfam family: Bacterial small subunit ribosomal RNA
Source: RNAcentral